UUCCGGUUGAUCCUGCCGGACCCGACUGCUAUCAGAGUGGGGCUAAGCCAUGCGAGUCAACAUAGCAAUAUGUGGCAUACGGCUCAGUAACACGUAGUCAACAUGCCCAGGGGACGUGGAUAACCUCGGGAAACUGAGGAUAAACCGCGAUAGGUCAUCACUUCUGGAAUGGGUAAUGACUUAAAUCUAUAUGGCCCCUGGAUUGGACUGCGGCCGAUCAGGCUGUUGGUGAGGUAAUGGCCCACCAAACCUGUAACCGGUACGGGCUCUGAGAGGAGGAGCCCGGAGAUGGGCACUGAGACAAGGGCCCAGGCCCUAUGGGGCGCAGCAGGCGCGAAACCUCUGCAAUAGGCGAAAGCUUGACAGGGUUACUCUGAGUGAUUUCCGUUAAGGAGAUCUUUUGGCACCUCUAAAAAUGGUGCAGAAUAAGGGGUGGGCAAGUCUGGUGUCAGCCGCCGCGGUAAUACCAGCACCCCGAGUGGUCGGGACGUUUAUUGGGCCUAAAGCAUCCGUAGCCGGUUCUACAAGUCUUCCGUUAAAUCCACCUGCUUAACAGAUGGGCUGCGGAAGAUACUAUAGAGCUAGGAGGCGGGAGAGGCAAGCGGUACUCGAUGGGUAGGGGUAAAAUCCGUUGAUCCAUUGAAGACCACCAGUGGCGAAGGCGGCUUGCCAGAACGCGCUCGACGGUGAGGGAUGAAAGCUGGGGGAGCAAACCGGAUUAGAUACCCGGGUAGUCCCAGCUGUAAACGAUGCAGACUCGGUGAUGAGUUGGCUUAUUGCUAACUCAGUGCCGCAGGGAAGCCGUUAAGUUUGCCGCCUGGGGAGUACGGUCGCAAGACUGAAACUUAAAGGAAUUGGCGGGGAGCA
RNAcentral lists this ribosomal RNA (867 nucleotides) under uncultured archaeon. RNAcentral describes it as "bacterial SSU rRNA". It matches the Rfam family "Archaeal small subunit ribosomal RNA", at positions 1 to 878 of the family's 1478-position model. The record is from RNAcentral.